CGUCGAAGAACUCGAACGUCUCCCGCAGCUCGGCGUCGUCGCAGGCCGGCCCGCACGCCGGACCCACCCGGCUCAGCAGCUCCUCGAUGCUCACGGCGGCGUCCUCCCCCUCGCCGUGGCACCCCACCUCGCUCAGCAUCACCGCCACCUCGUCCCGGCUGCCGAGCCGGCUGAGCAGGGCCUCGAGCUCCUUCCGCGAGAGGAUCCCGUCGCCGUCCCGGUCGAUGAGCCCGAACGCGCGGGCGAGCUCGAGGUUGCUGCCGGCCCAGACCCCGCCCCCGCCGCCGCCGCCGCCGCCGCCGCGGCCGAGGACGCUGGUCGGGGUCAGGGACUCGCCCUUGAGGACGGAGGAGGAGGAUUCGUCCGAGGAGGAGGAGGACGACGAGGCGGCGCCGAAGGAAGGCGUUUCGGAGCGGGACGCGACGGAUCGGCCCUUCCGGGACCCGAAGAGGUGCUUAGGGCUGAGCUUGAGCGCCUUGGAGGUGAUCUUGACGAGCCUCAUGGC
Molecule: long non-coding RNA, 505 nt
Filed under: Eucalyptus grandis
Lineage: Eukaryota; Viridiplantae; Streptophyta; Magnoliopsida; Myrtales; Myrtaceae
Description: long non-coding RNA (EGRA_LNC000315)
Source: RNAcentral